Molecule: ribosomal RNA, 460 nt
Filed under: uncultured bacterium
Lineage: Bacteria
Description: bacterial SSU rRNA
Rfam family: Bacterial small subunit ribosomal RNA
Source: RNAcentral
CGCUGGCGGCGCGCCUAACACAUGCAAGUCGAACGAGCGAGAGAGAGCUUGCUUUCUCGAGCGAGUGGCGAACGGGUGAGUAACGCGUGAGGAACCUGCCUCAAAGAGGGGGACAACAGUUGGAAACGACUGCUAAUACCGCAUAAGCCCACAGGUCGGCAUCGACCAGAGGGAAAAGGAGCAAUCCGCUUUGAGAUGGCCUCGCGUCCGAUUAGCUAGUUGGUGAGGUAAUGGCCCACCAAGGCGACGAUCGGUAGCCGGACUGAGAGGUUGAACGGCCACAUUGGGACUGAGACACGGCCCAGACUCCUACGGGAGGCAGCAGUGGGGAAUAUUGCACAAUGGGGGAAACCCUGAUGCAGCGACGCCGCGUGGAGGAAGAAGGUCUUCGGAUUGUAAACUCCUGUUGUUGAGGAAGAUAAUGACGGUACUCAACAAGGAAGUGACGGCUAACUACGUG